CGGGGCGUAGCGCAGUUUGGUAGCGCACUUGCCUGGGGGGCAAGGGGUCGCAGGUUCAAAUCCUGCCGCUCCGACCA
Molecule: transfer RNA, 77 nt
Filed under: Bermanella sp. 47_1433_sub80_T6
Lineage: Bacteria; Pseudomonadati; Pseudomonadota; Gammaproteobacteria; Oceanospirillales; Oceanospirillaceae
Also listed under: 1 other name
Description: tRNA-Pro
Rfam family: tRNA
About the family: Transfer RNA (tRNA) molecules are approximately 80 nucleotides in length.
Source: RNAcentral